GCAUUACGUCAUUACGUGACUCAACAAUGGAUCGAUGGAUGGAUGUAUAGUGUAAACAAUUCAAUCCGGGGGGAGUGCUUGCAAAUUAUUUUCGUAGCUUUGCAACGUUCAGCCAGCAUAUAUAUUAAAAAAUUUUCAAAUAAGAUUUUAUAUUUUUAUUCACAACGACAGAUGUUUUUCUGAUUUACAUUAUCUAGCAUUUAGAGGAACAAUCAUAAAUUAAAUAUCAAUUUUAAGAUAUGAAUGGCUAAUAUGUGUAGGUACUUUCUCGCCCUCAGUGCAACAAAAUCAAAUGAAACAACACACUUGCUCUGCACUGCGCCAAUUUUAAUAUGGUGGUGUCGGAGGAGUUGCAGUACAAUGUUGUGUAUAGAACGGGUCUAUCAUUACUAUCAAAGUCAAAGAUGCAGUCACUUUUAACCUUGUUUUUGUGCUUAUAUUAUCUAACAAAGAAACAGAGUGAUACAGAAUAUAAAAAAGUGCCUGUGGAGUGUGGUCAUGAUAGUUUUAAUAUAAAUUAGCUUACACAUUUUAUUAAAAAUAACUCAAUACCGUAUACUACCUAUAAGGGUUGUAUAAGUAUAAACAACUUGCAUCUUAUAUUGCCAUUUUGUUGUAACUGUAAAAUUUUACUCUGGAGCACAGGCAUGCAAAAAGAGACUAUGGUUCUUAAUUCUUUAAUGUUUAUAUUAAAUAACGAUGGUAGUUAAUGUCAUGAUCACAGACACAGGCUCUGACAACAGGCGAAUCUUACUGCAUUUAUAACAAAACCUGAUUAAAUUAUUAUAUAAGACGUACUUAGUUAUUGUUAUUUUGUCUUGAAUAUUAAGCCAUUCAACCCAAGCAUAUGCGUAAACAUCUGAUCAAACUCUAUACACUGUCAAAAUGCCAAUGUAGUACACAAAGUAGUUAAAUGUAGUUCUAUAAUUAGCGCUGCAAAGCUUAUACAUUUCAAUCACGCAACACAAAUAUUUUAGCGAUUGUGAUUUGUUCUAGAGAUCUGAGCACUGUAUGUGCUGCCUCUGAUGUGCUGUUUUAGCAUGAACAUAUUUGAUUUUUAAAUUGGGCAAUUGAUUUUAAAUUAAGGAAAUUGAAGGCUCAUGCAUUAUAUUUUCUAAUGAUCGAUAUAGUCAUGUUUAUUCAAUAUAGUCUGCAUAUUAUAUAUGCCAAGUCUGCAAUUUCAGUAAGCAGCUUUAUAUACAUUCUGCCUUUUAUACAUUUUCUGCAGUCUACACUAUAGUUUAUACUGACUCUGUAUGCUAUUUGUCAUUAUAAAAUUCAUUAAUAAUUCAUGAGGAAACAAAUGUUUAAUCAAUGUUUGUAAAUCGCAUAAAGAUUUGUCCUGAUUAACAUAAACUUCAGCUUUGAUUUUCUCGCCUUAGACAAUGCAUGUUUAUUUUUAAAUUACUUCGCCAAUGAACUCAUAAGAUCGGUUGUUUUAUAAUUGCGAUAAAACAUUCGCAUCUCGCCUUCGGCUUGUGUUUGUAUAUCAGAUAAAAAAUGUCUAGUACUUAUGUUCCAUUAGUAUGUGUGAGAAAAUUAUAUUUCUGGAAAUGUAAACAGCAUACUAAAGUAAUCAAUUAAAAUUCUGUAGUAUAUACAGACUAUAAAAGUAUAAUAAUACAGACCAUGCACGAUAAAGGGUGGAUGUGGGGCCUAUAUAUAGACCCCUUAUAGUGUGCACACCCCUUAUAGUGCUUUCUGGUCAGUUGUCAUAUCAACUUUGCACUAUCCUUGGGAUCUCUGAGUUGACAAUUAUCAGAUGGUUCACAUUAUUUUCUAGUUAUAGACUUAUUAUAAUUGUAGGAAAAAGUGGUUGAAUCAAGCAGCAAGAAUAAUAAUCUUAACUAUGAGAUCAUGUACACAACAUAGUUUCAGUUCUUUUAAAACCGUCUUUGAACUUUUUGUUCAAGCCUAGUGACUUAUUUCAGUAGAUGAAAAUCAUCCCACCUUUUAUCCUGUCCUGACAAACUGUGAUCAUGUGAACAGCACUGUUAGUCAUUAAGUUGAUUUUCACCGUAAUUUACAUACUUUACCAACUCUGUCUAACGUCAGACAAUUUUAUUAAUCAGGGGGAGCACUGCAGUUAGUGAGUAAUUAGAAGCAUGGGCAGUCUCGUUAUGAAGCAUAAAAUCGUCUUGCGUUGGACAGUAAAAAACUGAGUAGAGUAUGCUUCAUGGUACAGCACAACAAAAUGGUUUAAAUUUUAUAUCUGAAUUAAUGAUUGUUUUGCUUUGUUUUACAGAUCAUUACUGAACAUGGUGAUGGAAUAGUAAUUUAUAAAAUGUCAUGUUACCAAGAUAAGGCACUUCAAGGAGCAAUAUACAUGGGGAAAUAUCUUUAUUUUCCAACAAUGACAAUACAUCAAAGACAGUAAGAUCACAAAGCCAUGAAUUUGAAGAAAAUGUACCAAAUGACAAAGACGAUGAUGAAAUUGGAUGCUUGAGACGAAAUGAAAGGAUCGAAUGUUAUGGUCAGUAAUGGAUAUUUGUGGUUAUACUAAAUGGAUACAAAGAGACCAUGAUGGGUAAAUAUGGCCCUGUAAUGGUAGUCAGUUAAUGGAUAUACAAAGGCCACAGAAAU
Molecule: long non-coding RNA, 2583 nt
Filed under: Paramuricea clavata
Lineage: Eukaryota; Metazoa; Cnidaria; Anthozoa; Malacalcyonacea; Plexauridae
Source: RNAcentral